UUAGGUCCAAGACAUAUUGAGCCCAUGUGUUACAAUUAAUUAGAACUCUUCUAAUUUAAUUACUGAAUUAAUUUUUUUUAAUCCAUGAGAAUCUACAAAUCAAAAUUAAUAUUUAGCAAUGUGUCAUGACUAUUCAAAAGAUUUAAAAUUUAGUAGAAUAUCAAAAUAUCUUUUCAUGGUUAGUUAUCAUACAACACAAUAUCCUAGAC
RNAcentral lists this long non-coding RNA (209 nucleotides) under Elaeis guineensis (African oil palm). RNAcentral describes it as "long non-coding RNA (EGUI_LNC008379)". The record is from RNAcentral. Lineage: Eukaryota; Viridiplantae; Streptophyta; Magnoliopsida; Arecales; Arecaceae.